This 532-nucleotide ribosomal RNA is filed under the name uncultured bacterium. RNAcentral describes it as "bacterial SSU rRNA". It matches the Rfam family "Bacterial small subunit ribosomal RNA", at positions 392 to 918 of the family's 1533-position model. The record is from RNAcentral.
CCAUGCCGCGUGUCUGAAGAAGGCCUUCGGGUUGUAAAGGACUUUGUCAGGGAGCAAAACUUACUGGUUAAUACCCGGUGAGGCUGAGAGUACCUGAAGAAUAAGCACCGGCUAACUACGUGCCAGCAGCCGCGGUAAUACGUAGGGUGCAAGCGUUAAUCGGAAUUACUGGGCGUAAAGCGUGCGCAGGCGGACUUUUAAGCCAGAUGUGAAAGCCCCGAGCUUAACUUGGGAAUUGCGUUUGGAACUGGGAGUCUAGAGUCUGUCAGAGGGGGAUGGAAUUCCACGUGUAGCAGUGAAAUGCGUAGAGAUGUGGAGGAACACCGAUGGCGAAGGCAGUCCCCUGGGAUAAGACUGACGCUCAUGCACGAAAGCGUGGGGAGCAAACAGGAUUAGAUACCCUGGUAGUCCACGCCCUAAACGAUGUCUACUAGUUGUUGGGGUAGCAAUACCUCAGUGACGCAGCUAACGCGUGAAGUAGACCGCCUGGGGAGUACGGUCGCAAGAUUAAAACUCAAAGGAAUUGACGGGG